This 253-nucleotide ribosomal RNA is filed under the name uncultured bacterium. Its description in RNAcentral is "partial 16S ribosomal RNA". It matches the Rfam family "Bacterial small subunit ribosomal RNA", at positions 524 to 776 of the family's 1533-position model. The record is from RNAcentral.
UACGUAGGGUGCGAGCGUUAAUCGGAAUUACUGGGCGUAAAGAGUGCGUAGGCGGUCCCGCAAGUCCGCUGUGAAAGCCCCGGGCUUAACCUGGGAAUGACAGUGGAAACUAUGGGACUUGAAUCUGGCAGAGGGGGGUGGAAUGCCACGUGUAGCAGUGAAAUGCGUAGAGAUGUGGCGGAACACCGAUGGCGAAGGCAGCCCCCUGGGCUGAGAUUGACGCUCAGGCACGAAAGCGUGGGGAGCAAACAGG